Molecule: ribosomal RNA, 424 nt
Filed under: Verrucomicrobiota bacterium
Lineage: Bacteria; Pseudomonadati; Verrucomicrobiota
Description: Verrucomicrobia bacterium partial 16S ribosomal RNA
Rfam family: Bacterial small subunit ribosomal RNA
Source: RNAcentral
UGAGGAAUAUUGGUCAAUGGACGCAAGUCUGAACCAGCCAAGUAGCGUGCAGGAUGACGGCCCUAUGGGUUGUAAACUUCUUUUAUGUGGGGAUAAAGUGGGGAACGUGUUCCCUUUUGCAGGUACCAUAUGAAUAAGGACCGGCUAAUUCCGUGCCAGCAGCCGCGGUAAUACGGAAGGUUCGGGCGUUAUCCGGAUUUAUUGGGUUUAAAGGGAGCGUAGGCCGUUUGGUAAGCGUGUUGUGAAAUGUAGGAGCUCAACUUCUAGAUUGCAGCGCGAACUGUCAGACUUGAGUGCGCACAACGUAGGCGGAAUUCAUGGUGUAGCGGUGGAAUGAUUAGAUAUCAUGAAGAACUCCGAUUGCGAAGGCAGCUUACGGGAGCGCAACUGACGCUGAAGCUCGAAGGUGCGGGUAUCGAACAGG